This is a long non-coding RNA of Etheostoma spectabile (orangethroat darter), 149 nucleotides long. RefSeq lists it as uncharacterized. The transcript has 4 exons. The record is from RefSeq and is a predicted model, not a curated record. Lineage: Eukaryota; Metazoa; Chordata; Actinopteri; Perciformes; Percidae.
UUCAACCAAAUUUUGUCCAGUUUCGACUGAGACAUGACCCGCUAAUGACCAGAUUAAUGAUUAACCAACACCAAAAAUUACCAACUGAAUCUAUACAUAUCUAAUGAUACAUGCAAUUAAACUCAAAUUACGUAGUGAGAGUAUGUUUU